Molecule: ribosomal RNA, 699 nt
Filed under: Placopsis gelida
Lineage: Eukaryota; Fungi; Ascomycota; Lecanoromycetes; Trapeliales; Trapeliaceae
Description: SSU rRNA
Rfam family: Bacterial small subunit ribosomal RNA
Source: RNAcentral
AAUAAAGUUCUAGAUAGAAUUAUGAUAAUGACAUUUUCUAUCUAUGUGUCUUGACCAAAUCACGUGCCAGCAGUCGCGGUAAGACGUGGAAGACUAGUGUUAUUCAUCUUUAUUUGGUUUAAAGGGUACCUAGACUGCUAAUCAAGCCCCUAAAGGGUACUAAUUGGCUAGAGUUUUAUGUGAAAAGGGGUGUACUAAAGUGUGGAGAGAUGAAAUUCUGUGAUACCUUACUGGAACAGUCAACGGCGAAGGCGACCUUUUAUGUAAAAACUGACGUUGAAGGACGAAGGCUUAGGACACCAAUAGGAUUAGAUACCCUAGCAGUCUAAGCAGACAAUGAUGAAUGUCAUAGGCAAGAAUUAUAAUUUUGCCUAUAAAUGAAAGUGUAAGCAUUCCACCUCAAGAGUAACGCGGCAACGCCGGAACUGAAAUCAUUAGACCGUUUCUGAAACCAGUAGUGGAGUAUGUUGUUUAAUUUGAUCGUACGCAAAAAACCUUACCACAGUCUGAAUAGAUAUCUAAAUAUCAUACAAGCGCUGCACGGCUGUCUUCAGUUAAUGUCGUGAGAUUUUGGUUAGUUCCAUUAAAUUAACGUAAACCCUUACUUUAUUUUUUAUUAUGAAGUAGUUCACCGGCACAGCGGUCAUGAUAAAAGGGAUUAAGACAAGUCAAUAUGGCCUUAGCAUUGUGGGCUAUAGA